Molecule: unclassified non-coding RNA, 1616 nt
Filed under: Acyrthosiphon pisum (pea aphid)
Lineage: Eukaryota; Metazoa; Arthropoda; Insecta; Hemiptera; Aphididae
Description: kelch-like protein 12, transcript variant X3
Source: RNAcentral
AUAUUAUUACAAUAAAUAUCAAGGUGUAUACGCAUAAAAAAAACAUAAAACGUUUUCUAAUUAAUAUUUUUGUACAUUUUUUCUUCGGUCUAGCAAUAUAGCAAGUAGAGACCAUCCAGUAUCACUCCCCGAGGUCCAGACUCCACAUUGCCACAGUCGUCAUUCGGUACUAUGCCUAUUACCUAUAUAAUAUAGUCCGUGGGAGCUGUGCAUCAAAAUUCGACAUCAGUAAUAUAGGAAUUAUAUAAUUUACUAGUCACUGUACUGAAUUGAAUUCAACCACAAUAAAUACAAAAUAGGUAAAAAAAAUGGACACCUUACAGACUUCAUCAUGUGAAAGUGAUCCAAAGCAAGUUCUGACAUCCAAAGAAUGUGAACCAACAAAUUUUAAAAAUAACGCUCACUCAGUCAGAAUACUAGAAGAUUUACAAUCUCUGCGCAAAAACGAAGUCUUAUGUGAUAGUAGAUUUGAAACUGAUGAUGGAUGUGCAACGUUUGGUCAUAAAAAUGUUUUAAUGGCAGCUAGUCCAUAUUUCCGUGCAUUGUUCAAAUCUCGAAAAAUUUGUAAAACCGGCAACAACACCGUUAAUAUAAAAAAAUUAGAUUCUACAGUUUUACAACUAUUAUUGGACUAUAUUUAUACUGGCGAAAUUAUAGUCACAAAAGAAAAUGUACAGGGUUUAUUACCAGCUUCAAACCUCUUACAGCUAGAGUUCGUAAAUGGUGCAUGUAUUGAGUUUUUACAAAAACAGUUGGAUGCGUCAAACUGUCUUGGUAUCAGAGUGUUCGCUCGUUUACAUAACUGUACGGAAUUAUUAGCGAGUUCUGAAACAUUAAUAAAAAAACAGUUUCUGGAAGUGGUUAAAAGUGAUGAGUUUCUAUCAUUAUCUUUCGAAGAUGUUGUUAAGAUUAUCUCAUGUAAUGACCUUGCUGUUCCAUAUGAAGAAAAAUACACUAAUGGGUGGUUUAACAAAUAAAUAUUACACACGUGUGCAACGGUCAACGCAAAUCACAUUUAUAUAGCUUCCGAUAGCAGUAAAAUUCGACAAGCAGCAAUCAAGAAGACGUAUAUUCAUUUAUCGUAAAACCGUAACGUCGACUGGCUUGUGUGUGCCGAUCGGCGUCGUACGCGGUGGACAGUCCCCACCGCGUAUAUUAUUAUCAUUUAUGUCAAUAAAGGAGAUAAUUAUUAUAAUGACUGUGCUGUAUCGAUGUACGAUAUACAACACCUCUCCCCUAACUUUAAAUAAUUUGAUUAGCUUUUGAUUUUAUAUAACCGUGCUUAUUCUACUUAUUGACUAAAACUUACAUCUAAUUUUACAUUUUUUUUUUGUGUAUAACAUCUAUAUAUACCAUAUAGUCUAUGUCGUGUAUACCAUAUUUUACAUGCUAAUUUAUCUAUGUUAUGAAAAAAAAAGUAUACAUGCAUAUAAACAUGUAGCGUCGAUUUUAUUUCCUAAAAUCUACUGUUGUAUAGCGGUCGGGCGAUCUUUUCAUUCUAGUCGGGCGAGAACGUCCGGUUGAGAUUGUCUCGGGUUCCCUGUCUGGCCCGUCUGUAUCCUUCCCGGUCCCCUCUGGAACUAUUUUCCCCCUUGGGUCGGGUGGGUUCACGCUAC